CGCCGAAAGGGGUACGUAAUACCGGAUAUUCUUGCUUUUCAUAAGUUAUGCAAGCAAGGGUGGCCUCUGCAUAUGCUCUAAAGCAUGAAGAGGGGUCGUGCGUACCAUUAGCUAGUAGGUGGGGUAAUGGCCUACCUAGGCGACGAUGGUUAGCGGGUCUGAGAGGAUGAUCCGCCACACUGGCACUGGAACACGGGCCAGACUCCUACGGGAGGCAGCAGUGAGGAAUAUUGCGCAAUGGGGGAAACCCUGACGCAGCGACGCCGCGUGAGUGAAGGAAGGCCUUCGGGUCGUAAAGCUCUGUCAAGAGGAAAGAAGUGUACAAUGGCUAAUACCUGUUGUAUUUGACGGUACCUCUAAAGGAAGCACCGGCUAACUCCGUGCCAGCCGCAGC
This 394-nucleotide ribosomal RNA is filed under the name uncultured bacterium. RNAcentral describes it as "bacterial SSU rRNA". It matches the Rfam family "Bacterial small subunit ribosomal RNA", at positions 149 to 518 of the family's 1533-position model. The record is from RNAcentral.